RNAcentral lists this ribosomal RNA (480 nucleotides) under uncultured bacterium. RNAcentral's name for it is "partial 16S ribosomal RNA". It matches the Rfam family "Bacterial small subunit ribosomal RNA", at positions 28 to 523 of the family's 1533-position model. The record is from RNAcentral.
GAUGAACGCUGGCGGCGUGCUUAACACAUGCAAGUCGAGCGAUGAAACACCUUCGGGUGCGGAUUAGCGGCGAACGGGUGAGGAACACGUGAGGAAUCUGCCUUCCACUCUGGGAUAACUCCGGGAAACCGGGGCUAAUACCGGAUACUUUCAACUGGCGGCAUCGCCGGUUGAAGAAAGUCUUUCGGUGGAAGAUGACCUCGCGGCCUAUCAGCUUGUUGUUGAGGUAAAGGCUCACCAAGGCGACGACGGGUAGCCGGCCUGAGAGGGCGACCGGCCACACUGGGACUGAGACACGGCCCAGACUCCUACGGGAGNNNNCAGUGGGGAANAUUNCACAAGGGGCGCAAGCCUGAUGCAGCGACGCCGCGUGAGGGAUGACGGCCUUCGGGUUGUAAACCUCUUUCAGCACCGANGNAGNGCAAGUGACNGUAGGUGCAGAAGAAGGACCGGCCAACUACGUGCCAGCCGCCGCAGUAA